This 1474-nucleotide long non-coding RNA is filed under the name Manihot esculenta (cassava). RNAcentral describes it as "long non-coding RNA (MESC_LNC004048)". The record is from RNAcentral. Lineage: Eukaryota; Viridiplantae; Streptophyta; Magnoliopsida; Malpighiales; Euphorbiaceae.
GCUACAAACGCCUUCAAUUUAGAAGAAUCCUUGUAGUCCUGAAGGUGAACCUCACAAGCCUGCUCGAUUUUCCUCUUCAGUUCAUCAGACUCCUGGUACUCCGCUAUACAUUGCUCACGCUCCAGCUGAGCCCUGUCUUCAACAUGUUUUACUACCUUGAGCAGGGCUGAACACUUACGUUCCAAGGUCCUGACUUCUUGGUUCAGCUGUUGGUGGUGAAGGUUGAACUCUUCAGCCGACGAAGCCAGGUCCCUGAUACGAUCAGAGCUCGUACUCAACUCCUGCUCAAGGACCUCCACCCGAGCUAGGGCCCCUUCCUUCUGAGCUUUCACCUCCUCCAGGUGAACCUGCAGUCCUUCAGAAUCAGCCUUUAAGGCCUCAUAUCGACGCUGGAUCUCAGUUUUCUGGCUCACAGCCUCAUCUCUCUCUCGAAGGGCCCCCAUCAUAGAGGACAGCUGCUUUAAAACCUCUGCACAACGAGCCUCCACGGCAGCUGCACUCUCAUCAGACUCCUUGAGAACCUUGCGAGUAUGAGACAGCUCUGCUUCUAAAGACUUGGUGUGCUCUGCUGUCUCGGACGCCUUCUCCUCAGCCUUUUUAAUGACCUCCAGCGCAGAGUGUAACUCUACUUGGAGGGACUGGGUAUGCUCCUGAGCCACUGCAAGGUUACUCCUGGCAUCACUAGUUGCAGACAAAUUUUCAUCCAGACGUGUCUCUUCAAUCUGACGGUCUACAGACUCCCGCAAGGAGUAAUCACGAGCAUCCACCUCCAUAAAGAGGCCCGUCACCUAGCACAGAAUAACAAUCGUCAAGAGAAAGAAAUAAAGCAAACUAAAAGAGAAGUGGAAAAGUAAUUUACCAUCAGAAGCAUCUCCCUAAUCGUCGAUCCGAGCUCCUCCCGAGAGCGAGACCGAAAGGACGCUUGUUUCUUGGUAAAACUGGCUAAGAGACCAGUCAAGGCAAGAAGACGCGAAUCAGAGGCCUCGAUAAUUCUGCCGAACAUUCGCUCUCUAAGAAGUUCCGCAACAGCACUGGCCGGAGACUCAGAGGUAAUGUCCGACGCGUUCAGAACGUUGUCAGAAGAAAACAACAAAGGCGUAGCAGAAACACCUUUCCCCUUCCCAAUGGGAGGAAGAGCUGGAGAAGAACCUGUGGCAGCCCUGGAUUUCUUCUGAGCAGGAGAUGGGGAAGAUGUUCCGGAAGGGGCUGAGCGCUUAUCCCCGGUCUUUAGUGGAAUGCCUUCAGAAUCCUCAGGCCCAGUUCCCACAGAGGCAGGGGCAUUUUGGAUAGGAACAUCUGGGACAUGGUCCUCUAUGAGGAUGAUCUCCAUCCCUGUCCCAGAGGCCUCCUUCUCUUCAGUAACGGGGGACUUAGAUUUUCCCCCUGACAACCCUUCAGGAGAAUGAACAAGACCCGACUCCACUUGUUCAACGACUUGGGUCUGCUCCACAAUGGCUAGGGAGGUUUCCCUUGC